RNAcentral lists this ribosomal RNA (467 nucleotides) under uncultured bacterium. Its description in RNAcentral is "partial 16S ribosomal RNA". It matches the Rfam family "Bacterial small subunit ribosomal RNA", at positions 28 to 506 of the family's 1533-position model. The record is from RNAcentral.
GACGAACGCUGGCGGCGUGCUUAACACAUGCAAGUCGAACGGAAAGGCCCUGCUUUUGUGGGGUGCUCGAGUGGCGAACGGGUGAGUAACACGUGAGUAACCUGCCCUUGACUUUGGGAUAACUUCAGGAAACUGGGGCUAAUACCGGAUAGGAGCUCCUGCUGCAUGGUGGGGGUUGGAAAGUUUCGGCGGUUGGGGAUGGACUCGCGGCUUAUCAGCUUGUUGGUGGGGUAGUGGCUUACCAAGGCUUUGACGGGUAGCCGGCCUGAGAGGGUGACCGGCCACAUGGGGACUGAGAUACGGCCCAGCCUCCUCCGGGGGGAAGCGGGGGGGAAUAUUGCACAAGGGGCGGAAGCCUGAUGCAGCAACGCCGCGGGCGGGAUGACGCCCUUCGGGUUGUAAACCGCUUUCGCCUGUGACGAGGCGUGAGUGACGGUAAUGGGUAAAGAAGCACCGGCUAACUACGU